Non-coding RNA from Amylostereum chailletii, 80 nucleotides. Lineage: Eukaryota; Fungi; Basidiomycota; Agaricomycetes; Russulales; Stereaceae. The record is from the annotation of a GenBank genome assembly.
GCCAAGAUGGCCGAGCGGUCUAAGGCGCCAGACUAAGGAUCUGGUCCGAAAGGGCGUGGGUUCGAAUCCCACUCUCGUCA